GCCAGGCGCGGUGGCAUGUGCCUGUAGUCCCAGCUACUUGGGAGGCUGAGGCUGGAGGAUUGAUUGAGUCCAGGAGUUCUGGGCUGUAGUGUGCCAUGCCGAUUGCGUGUCCACACUAAGUUCGGCAUCAAUAUGGUGACCUCCCAGGAGCCGGGAACCACCAGGUUGCCUAAGGAGGGGUGAACUAGCCCAAGUCAGAAACGGAGCAGGUCAAAACUCCCGUGCUGAUCAGUAGUGGGAUCGUGCCUGUGAAUAGUCACUGCACUCCAGCCUGGGCAACAUAGCGAGACCCUGUCUCU
This 299-nucleotide signal recognition particle RNA is filed under the name Aotus nancymaae (Ma's night monkey). Its description in RNAcentral is "Metazoan signal recognition particle RNA (ENSANAG00000005819.1)". It matches the Rfam family "Metazoan signal recognition particle RNA". Rfam says of the family: The signal recognition particle (SRP) is a universally conserved ribonucleoprotein. It is involved in the co-translational targeting of proteins to membranes. The eukaryotic SRP consists of a 300-nucleotide 7S RNA and six proteins: SRPs 72, 68, 54, 19, 14, and 9. The record is from RNAcentral. Lineage: Eukaryota; Metazoa; Chordata; Mammalia; Primates; Aotidae.